This 301-nucleotide ribosomal RNA is filed under the name uncultured bacterium. Its description in RNAcentral is "partial 16S ribosomal RNA". It matches the Rfam family "Bacterial small subunit ribosomal RNA", at positions 509 to 809 of the family's 1533-position model. The record is from RNAcentral.
CAGCAGCCGCGGUAAGACAGAGGAUGCAAGCGUUAUCCGGAAUGAUUGGGCGUAAAGGGCUCGCAGGCGGUUUCUUGAGUCUGAUGUGAAAGCCCCCGGCUCAACCGGGGAGGGUCAUUGGAAACUGGGAAACUUGAGUGCAGAAGAGGAGAGUGGAAUUCCACGUGUAGCGGUGAAAUGCGUAGAGAUGUGGAGGAACACCAGUGGCGAAGGCGACUCUCUGGUCUGUAACUGACGCUGAGGAGCGAAAGCGUGGGGAGCGAACAGGAUUAGAUACCCGUGUAGUCCCUGUCUCUUAUAA